GAUGAACGCUGGCGGCGUGCCUAAUACAUGCAAGUCGAGCGAACAGAUAAGGAGCUUGCUCCUUUGAAGUUAGCGGCGGACGGGUGAGUAACACGUGGGUAACCUACCUAUAAGACUGGGAUAACUUCGGGAAACCGGAGCUAAUACCGGAUAACAUUUAGAACCGCAUGGUUCUAAAGUGAAAGAUGGUUUUGCUAUCACUUAUAGAUGGACCCGCGCCGUAUUAGCUAGUUGGUAAGGUAACGGCUUACCAAGGCGACGAUACGUAGCCGACCUGAGAGGGUGAUCGGCCACACUGGAACUGAGACACGGUCCAGACUCCUACGGGAGGCAGCAGUAGGGAAUCUUCCGCAAUGGGCGAAAGCCUGACGGAGCAACGCCGCGUGAGUGAUGAAGGGUUUCGGCUCGUAAAACUCUGUUAUUAGGGAAGAACAAAUGUGUAAGUAACUGUGCACAUCUUGACGGUACCUAAUCAGAAAGCCACGGCUAACUACGUGCCAGCAGCCGCGGUAAUACGUAGGUGGCAAGCGUUAUCCGGAAUUAUUGGGCGUAAAGCGCGCGUAGGCGGUUUCUUAAGUCUGAUGUGAAAGCCCACGGCUCAACCGUGGAGGGUCAUUGGAAACUGGGAAACUUGAGUGCAGAAGAGGAAAGUGGAAUUCCAUGUGUAGCGGUGAAAUGCGCAGAGAUAUGGAGGAACACCAGUGGCGAAGGCGACUUUCUGGUCUGUAACUGACGCUGAUGUGCGAAAGCGUGGGGAUCAAACAGGAUUAGAUACCCUGGUAGUCCACGCCGUAAACGAUGAGUGCUAAGUGUUAGGGGGUUUCCGCCCCUUAGUGCUGCAGCUAACGCAUUAAGCACUCCGCCUGGGGAGUACGACCGCAAGGUUGAAACUCAAAGGAAUUGACGGGGGCCCGCACAAGCGGUGGAGCAUGUGGUUUAAUUCGAAGCAACGCGAAGAACCUUACCAGGUCUUGACAUCCUUUGACCACUCUAGAGAUAGAGCUUUCCCUUCGGGGACAAAGUGACAGGUGGUGCAUGGUUGUCGUCAGCUCGUGUCGUGAGAUGUUGGGUUAAGUCCCGCAACGAGCGCAACCCUUAUUGUUAGUUGCCAUCAUUUAGUUGGGCACUCUAGCGAGACUGCCGGUGACAGACCGGAGGAAGGUGGGGAUGACGUCAAAUCAUCAUGCCCCUUAUGACCUGGGCUACACACGUGCUACAAUGGGAAGUACAACGAGUCGCUAGACCGCGAGGUCAUGCAAAUCUCUUAAAGCUUCUCUCAGUUCGGAUUGCAGGCUGCAACUCGCCUGCAUGAAGCCGGAAUCGCUAGUAAUCGCGGAUCAGCACGCCGCGGUGAAUACGUUCCCGGGCCU
This 1370-nucleotide ribosomal RNA is filed under the name uncultured bacterium. Its description in RNAcentral is "bacterial SSU rRNA". It matches the Rfam family "Bacterial small subunit ribosomal RNA", at positions 28 to 1381 of the family's 1533-position model. The record is from RNAcentral.